AUGGCUGCCAAAAUCCUCUGCUAUGUCUCAUUUUGUCUCCUGGGGGCAGGAUAUUUUGAUGCCGAUGUUAUCCAGCUCCCAAGACAUCUGGUCAAAGGCAAAGGACAGAGAGCCAAGAUGAGCUGCAGCCCUGCAAAGGGCCACACUGCUGUUUAUUGGUAUCAGCAGAGCCCGGACAAAGAAUUCAGAUUUUUCAUUUACUUUCUGAACCAAGAUAUUAUUGAACAAAUAGACAUGGUCAAGGAGCGAUUCUCAGCUGAAUGUCCCUCCAACUCACCUUGCAGUCUGGAAAUCCAGUCCUCUGAACCAGGAGACUCGGCGCUGUACUUCUGUGCGAGCAGUAUGUUUGGGAAAGGAACCGAAAUUGUCUUUGGGAAAGGAACCAGACUCACGGUUGUAGAGGACCUGAGCGAGGUGAAGCCACCCAAGGUCUCUGUGUUUGAGCCAUCGGAAGUGGAGAUCUCCGAGAAGAAAAAGGCCACCCUCGUGUGUCUGGCCAGGGACUUCUACCCCGAUCACGUGGAGCUGAGCUGGUGGGUGAACGGGAAAGAGGUCCGCAGUGGGGUGAGCACAGACCCGCAGCCCCGCAAGGCCGGGCAGAACUCCAGCUACACCCUGAGCAGCCGCCUGAGGGUGUCAGCCGCCUUCUGGCUCAACCCACGCAACCACUUUCGCUGCCAAGUCCAGUUCUACGGGCUCACGGAGGAAGACGAGUGGACCGAGGACUGGGCCAAACCCGUCACUCAGAACAUCAGCGCCGAGACCCGGGGACGCGCAGACUGUGGCAUCACCUCAGUGUCCUACAAACAAGGGAUCCUGUCCGCCACCCUCCUCUACGAGAUCCUGCUGGGGAAGGCCGCCCUGUAUGCUGUGCUGGUCAGUGCCCUGGUGCUGAUGACCAUGGUCAAGAGAAAGGAUUCCUGAUGCCAGUCCUGGAGGUGGAGCCUGGAGCUUCCAAUCCAUAAUGGUGUCAAUACAGACUCGCUUUUUCCAGUGCUUCUGACACGCUGUUCUCAUUUCUCCCUUCAUUCCAAUGUGUACCCUCUGCACAAGUAUGACUGAAGCCCUCUUAACCUAGAGAAAAAAAAAACUCACUUGCCUAUA
Molecule: non-coding RNA, 1104 nt
Organism: Jaculus jaculus (lesser Egyptian jerboa)
Lineage: Eukaryota; Metazoa; Chordata; Mammalia; Rodentia; Dipodidae
Source: the annotation of a RefSeq genome assembly